AUAGAGUUUUAUAAAUAAAUUAAUUGAGAUUAUUUAUUAAAUAAAAUUAAAAUUAAGUUGUUUAUUAUAUUGGGGUGAUAGAAAAAUGUAAUUAACUUUUUUUAUAUGUGAAAACAUUUAUAAGUGAUUAUAUGAUCCAAUAUUAUUGAUUAUAAGAAAAAAUUACCUUAGGGAUAACAGCGUAAUUUUUUUUUUUAGUUCAUAUAAGAAAAAGAGUUUGCGACCUCGAUGUUGGAUUAAGAUAAAAUUUAAAUG
RNAcentral lists this ribosomal RNA (255 nucleotides) under Sciomesa mesophaea. RNAcentral's name for it is "partial 16S large subunit ribosomal RNA". The record is from RNAcentral. Lineage: Eukaryota; Metazoa; Arthropoda; Insecta; Lepidoptera; Noctuidae.